This 968-nucleotide ribosomal RNA is filed under the name Aestuariibacter sp. Its description in RNAcentral is "bacterial SSU rRNA". It matches the Rfam family "Bacterial small subunit ribosomal RNA", at positions 67 to 1032 of the family's 1533-position model. The record is from RNAcentral. Lineage: Bacteria; Pseudomonadati; Pseudomonadota; Gammaproteobacteria; Alteromonadales; Alteromonadaceae.
CGGUAGCAGGAAGUGCUUGCACUUUGCUGACGAGUGGCGGACGGGUGAGUAAUGCUUGGGAACUUGCCUUUAGGUGGGGGAUAACAGUUGGAAACGACUGCUAAUACCGCAUAAUGUCUACGGACCAAAGGGGGCUUCGGCUCUCGCCUUGAGAGAGGCCCAAGUGAGAUUAGCUAGUUGGUGGGGUAAAGGCCUACCAAGGCAACGAUCUCUAGCUGUUCUGAGAGGAAGAUCAGCCACACUGGGACUGAGACACGGCCCAGACUCCUACGGGAGGCAGCAGUGGGGAAUAUUGCACAAUGGGGGAAACCCUGAUGCAGCCAUGCCGCGUGUGUGAAGAAGGCCUUCGGGUUGUAAAGCACUUUCAGUUGUGAGGAAAGGUUGGUAGUUAAUACCUGCCAGCUGUGACGUUAACAACAGAAGAAGCACCGGCUAACUCCGUGCCAGCAGCCGCGGUAAUACGGAGGGUGCGAGCGUUAAUCGGAAUUACUGGGCGUAAAGCGCACGCAGGCGGCUUGUUAAGCUAGAGGUGAAAGCCCCGCGCUCAACGUGGGAACUGCCUUUAGAACUGGCAGGCUAGAGUCUUGGAGAGGGGAGUGGAAUUCCAGGUGUAGCGGUGAAAUGCGUAGAUAUCUGGAGGAACAUCAGUGGCGAAGGCGGCUCCCUGGCCAAAGACUGACGCUCAUGUGCGAAAGUGUGGGUAGCGAACAGGAUUAGAUACCCUGGUAGUCCACACCGUAAACGCUGUCUACUAGCUGUUUGUGUAUUUAAUACGUGAGUAGCGAAGCUAACGCGCUAAGUAGACCGCCUGGGGAGUACGGCCGCAAGGUUAAAACUCAAAUGAAUUGACGGGGGCCCGCACAAGCGGUGGAGCAUGUGGUUUAAUUCGAUGCAACGCGAAGAACCUUACCUACUCUUGACAUCCAGGAAAUUUUUCAGAGAUGAAUUAGUGCCUUCGGGAAUCCUGA